UUUUAUAAUUUGCGGCUUUUUUCUUCACCACAAAAGUAACCAUAUCACUUUUCGCAAGGAAAAACACCUGAAUUAUACGCAAUCUGUUCUUUGUCCUGUUUUCUAUUUUACAAGAGCAAAAGUUAGGAAGAUAAAUUGAAAAAUAAGUUCUAGUCCUAAAUUCCUUCGUUUGGUCGGAAAUCGACAGUGUUGUAACGUCAUAUCAGCCAUUAUCGUGGACACCGGUCGCCACAUGGCAGACACGCGGGUGAGAGAUAUUGUUUGUAUUUUCCAGCUAUAGCAGCGUAGAGCAGUAUCGAUAGUGACGUAAUACGUCACGCGCUUUUUGUCCCAUUGCGUGCCACUGAGGAGAUGUGGGCGUAAAGUUGUAUGUUUUUCUUUCAUUUAACUAAACUGAAUUAGGUUCUAAACCACCCUCCAAACAGUUGCUCCCUUUAAUUAGAAGUCGAAGGCGUGUAGUAUACUAGUAUUGUUGCAGAGGGACUGGCUUGGACGCGACUUGGGUUCUAUUCAAAGAAAAAACGAGGUAUUUCUUCAGCUGGGCCAAGUUCAACAUGGUACUUAAUCAUUUCCUGCCACGCUUCUGACGAGUGACGAACGGUUUAUGAAUUAAUAAAUAUGAGAGUUGCGUUCGUCAAGUCACAUGAACGAUUAGCAUUGGCUACCAGCAAUGAGGCGCGAAUCACGCUGCUUCACUUUAAGUCUCCUUUCCAUGUGGGAGGACGAACAUAUAUUAAUUUUUGUCCUGAGUGAGAACAAAGUGGAAUUUUCAAGACCUGUCGCUACAAGGGCAUUAACUGAAAGGAAAAUUAACGAUUGAUACACCCUCGCGUUACUUAGGGACUCGAACAACUCAGGGUUUCUACAACAGAAUUAAGGCAACUUCAACUGCAGACGUAUUUAUCAUCUGUCUAUAUCAUCCCGAGAGCACUUGCAUCAGCUUUCAGUAGCAUCUGAAACUGUCUAUGGACACAAUGAGAUCCACACUCAGGAAAGAAACUAAUGAAGUCGGUGAACAUUUAGAACUGAGCGAGCAAAUGAAGACGCGAUGUCGACAGGUCGCGCGGGAGUUGCAGCAUUUAGGAGAUACACUCGAGAACAGAUAUUUUCGUCAAGACGUUGAUGAAAAUCAAGAGAGACGUCCUCUUGGACUUAACAUGCUGGAAAUUGCCAGGGAGAUCUUCCGGCGAUAUGUUACGGAACUUUUUGCGCGUAACAAUUGAACUGUGGAAUAAGAACAGAGAUAUUUCCGAUCUGACUCUCGGCACCGUUCGUACAGUUUUCAACUAUUUCUGAUCAUGACGUUAGAGUUUUGCCGUGCAGCAUUUUCAAUUAUCGUGUAAUCAGCUGAAUCAGCAAUUUCGAUCAGUCACGAAAACAGAAUAAAUCACGCAAGAACAUGGAUAUGGAAAUACGCAUCAAAGCCAGUCAGGAAAAGCACACAUUUCUGGCUUAGUGUGAGGUUUAUCACGGAAAGGUCGUUAAGGGCUGUGUUUGAAAAGAAUUUAGGAUUAUAUGGUGUUAGGGAUCUUCGCGUGUUUUGGUGCGAAGCUUCUAACUGACAAUUUUUACCCGUGUUUACCGGCGUACCAUGACAACGCUAGUUCCCAUUUUAGAACUCGGCGACUAUAAGAUAACUAGCAGAAAUAAUCACAAAAACAGCUAAUUAUGAAACAACAUGCGUUAAAUUCGCCAUAUAUUUUGCUUCCGAGAAAAUAAAAUGGCCAAAAAUA
Pocillopora damicornis (cauliflower coral) is the source of this 1733-nucleotide long non-coding RNA. RefSeq lists it as uncharacterized. The record is from RefSeq and is a predicted model, not a curated record. Lineage: Eukaryota; Metazoa; Cnidaria; Anthozoa; Scleractinia; Pocilloporidae.